AUGGCGGCAGCCUGUGGAUUGACGGAUCGGUCGGGUGACAGUGACGCCGGUAAUGACGUUAGUGAAGUUAUUAUCAGGGAGUGAAUCCGAAAAGAAAUCGAUACGGUCCACCUCACAAUCCAUAUUGGAUUGUCAAAUUUAUUAAACAAAAAAAGAGUAGUUCAAGAAUUAGGAAAAGAUAUACAAAAGGAAAUUAACUUUGUAAACCAGAGACUUAAUAUUUCUAUCGAAAAAGUUAAAGAACCUUAUCAGCCUAACAUUCGUGCGGAAUAUAUAGCUUUCCAAUUAACAAGAUAG
Molecule: ribosomal RNA, 297 nt
Filed under: Triticum aestivum (bread wheat)
Lineage: Eukaryota; Viridiplantae; Streptophyta; Magnoliopsida; Poales; Poaceae
Description: partial small subunit ribosomal RNA
Source: RNAcentral